GAUGAACGCUGACAGAAUGCUUCACACAUGCAAGUCAACUGUGGCGGACGGGUGAGUAACGCGUAAAGAACUUGCCUCACAGAUAGGGACAACAUUUGGAAACGAAUGCUAAUACCUGAUACUGUGAGAGAGCUUUGCGUCCCAUUAGCUAGUUGGAGAGGUAACGGCGCACAAAGGCGAGGAUGGGUAGCCGGCCUGAGAGGGUGAUCGGCCACAAGGGGACUGAGGCACGGACCUUGCUCAUAAGGGAGGCAGCAGUGGGGAAUAUUGGCAAAUGGACAAAAGUCUGAACAAGCAAUUCGGGGUGCACGAUGAAGUUUUCGGAAUGUAAGGUGCUUUGAGUUGGGAAGCGGUACCAACAGAAGAAGUGACGGCUAAAUACGUGCCAGCAGCCGCGGUAAUUC
RNAcentral lists this ribosomal RNA (404 nucleotides) under uncultured bacterium. Its description in RNAcentral is "partial 16S ribosomal RNA". It matches the Rfam family "Bacterial small subunit ribosomal RNA", at positions 28 to 526 of the family's 1533-position model. The record is from RNAcentral.